Molecule: ribosomal RNA, 253 nt
Filed under: uncultured bacterium
Lineage: Bacteria
Description: partial 16S ribosomal RNA
Rfam family: Bacterial small subunit ribosomal RNA
Source: RNAcentral
UACGGAGGGAGCAAGCGUUACUCGGAAUUAUUGGGCGUAAAGGGCGCGUAGGCGAUUUGAAAAGUCUCGUGUGAAAGCCCCGAGCUUAACUCGGGAAGUGCACAAGAAACUGUUGAAUUUGAGUUCCGGAGAGGAAGGCAGAAUUCCCGGUGUAGCGGUGAAAUGCGUAGAUAUCGGGAGGAAUACCAGUGGCGAAGGCGGCCUUCUGGACGGAUACUGACGCUGAGGCGCGAAAGCCAGGGGAGCAAACGGG